Molecule: long non-coding RNA, 1057 nt
Filed under: Sarcophilus harrisii (Tasmanian devil)
Lineage: Eukaryota; Metazoa; Chordata; Mammalia; Dasyuromorphia; Dasyuridae
Description: lncRNA (ENSSHAG00000023590.1)
Source: RNAcentral
ACCAAAAUCUAUUUUUUCUUUGUCUUGAUUGUUUUAAGUCUGCUUAUAUCAGAUCACCUAACCUUGAAAGGUCAAGACCAUUUCAAAAUUUUUCCUUUCCCAAUCUAUUAGUCACCAAAUCCUAUCAAUUCUACCUCUACUAUCACCUCUUUUCCCCCUUCCAUCAUCCUACUCUACUUAGCUAAAUUUCUAAAUACUGAUCACCUGUCCUGAUCGUUUCCUAAAUAGUAACAAGUUUCAGUCUUUCUCAGAUUCAAGCUAUCAUUCCCUCCCUGCAGUAUUACUCUUCCUAAAGCACAGAUUGCACUAAUCACUUCAGUCCUAAUUUAAAACUUUUACUUUAUUAGUUUCCUGCCAGAUCAAUAUUCAUUCAUUUUAACAAACAGUAAGUGCUCAUGUUGUACCAGACUCAGUGCUAGAUACUGGAGUUACAAGGGCAAAAAUACAACAGAUCCAAGACGUUCUGCUAGAAGUAAAAUAAAACCUACAGAAAAAACCUCAGAGAAAACGUAUACCUCUGCAGAAGAGUGAGUUGAGACAGAGAAGGAUUAAUUACUGGCACAAUGUGCCAUUGCAGGUAAGAGUUUGAUCCAGGAAUUUUACUGUCACAUCCCAUGGAAAAAGCUUUCAAACUGCGCAUGUAGGAUAUUUUCAGAAAAUAGGGCAUUCAACAAGAUCACAGACCAGGGACUACUUAUGGGUGAUCUCCAGGUUUGAGAAAGUUGCACUGCUGAGAGAUCCUUAAUUUGCAAAAAAAUAAAAUAAAGUCUGGCUAAGAUUAAUUAGUAAAAAGCCUAGAAGACAAGCCUGUUCUGUUCCAUGUGCAAUUUCACUGAAUUCUUCGCCAAACUGAGUUUGUAAUUUUUAAAUUUCCUAUUCUUCGAAUCUGACAACUAGCAAAGGUUCAAAUCUCACUCUGUCACCCCGCUCCCCAAAGAGUCAUGCUUUCACCCCAAACUCAUUUCCUGUGACCGCCUUUCGUCCCAAAGUCCUCAAAAACAGGCAAGCCCACGCUCUCCACCGGGGAUCCUUCGCAGCUGGUUAGGACCCCAUCGCG